GACGAACGCUGGCGGCGUGCUUAACACAUGCAAGUCGAACGGAAAGGCCCUGCUUGCCGGGUGCUCGAGUGGCGAACGGGUGAGUAACACGUGGGUGAUCUGCCCCUUACUUUGGGAUAAGCCUGGGAAACUGGGUCUAAUACUGGAUAGGACCAUGCUGUAGGUGGUGUGGUGGAAAGAUUAGUUUCGGUAAGGGAUGAGCUCGCGGCCUAUCAGCUUGUUGGUGGGGUAAUGGCCUACCAAGGCGUCGACGGGUAGCCGGCGUGAGAGGGUGGACGGCCACAUUGGGACUGAGAUACUGCCCAGACGCCUACGGGAGGCAGCAGUGGGGAAUAUUGCACAAUGGGCGCAAGCCGGAUGCAGCGACGCCGCGGGGGGGAUGACGGCCUUCGGGUUGUAAACUCCUUUCAGCCAUGACGAAGCCCUUGUGGUGACGGUAGUGGUAGAAGAAGCACCGGCUAACUACGUG
Molecule: ribosomal RNA, 469 nt
Filed under: uncultured bacterium
Lineage: Bacteria
Description: partial 16S ribosomal RNA
Rfam family: Bacterial small subunit ribosomal RNA
Source: RNAcentral